GUGCCAGCAGCCGCGGUAAUACGUAGGGUGCAAGCGUUAUCCGGAAUUAUUGGGCGUAAAGAGCUCGUAGGCGGUUUGUCGCGUCUGCUGUGAAAACUGGAGGCUCAACCUCCAGCUUGCAGUGGGUACGGGCAGACUAGAGUGCGGUAGGGGAGAUUGGAAUUCCUGGUGUAGCGGUGGAAUGCGCAGAUAUCAGGAGGAACACCAAUGGCGAAGGCAGAUCUCUGGGCCGUAACUGACGCUGAGGAGCGAAAGCAUGGGGAGCGAACAGGAUUAGAUACCCUGGUAGUCCAUGCCGUAAACGUUGGGAACUAGAUGUAGGGACCAUUCCACGGUUUCUGUGUCGCAGCUAACGCAUUAAGUUCCCCGCCUGGGGAGUACGGCCGCAAGGCUAAAACUCAAAGGAAUUGACGG
RNAcentral lists this ribosomal RNA (414 nucleotides) under Parafrigoribacterium sp. RNAcentral's name for it is "bacterial SSU rRNA". It matches the Rfam family "Bacterial small subunit ribosomal RNA", at positions 505 to 916 of the family's 1533-position model. The record is from RNAcentral. Lineage: Bacteria; Bacillati; Actinomycetota; Actinomycetes; Micrococcales; Microbacteriaceae.